CGGAAUUUAGCUCAGCUUGGUAGAGCGUGCGUUCGGGACGCAGAGGUCGCAAGUUCAAAUCUUGUAAUUCCGA
This 73-nucleotide transfer RNA is filed under the name Limosilactobacillus reuteri. RNAcentral's name for it is "Lactobacillus reuteri tRNA-Pro". It matches the Rfam family "tRNA". From Rfam's summary of the family: Transfer RNA (tRNA) molecules are approximately 80 nucleotides in length. Their secondary structure includes four short double-helical elements and three loops (D, anti-codon, and T loops). The record is from RNAcentral. Lineage: Bacteria; Bacillati; Bacillota; Bacilli; Lactobacillales; Lactobacillaceae.